This 176-nucleotide ribosomal RNA is filed under the name uncultured Allobrachymonas sp. RNAcentral describes it as "uncultured Brachymonas sp. partial 16S ribosomal RNA". It matches the Rfam family "Bacterial small subunit ribosomal RNA", at positions 1209 to 1382 of the family's 1533-position model. The record is from RNAcentral. Lineage: Bacteria; Pseudomonadati; Pseudomonadota; Betaproteobacteria; Burkholderiales; Comamonadaceae.
UGGGGCUACACACGUCAUACAAUGGCCGGUACAGGAGGGUAGCCCAACCCGCGAGGGGGAGCCAAUCCCACAAAGCCGGUCGUAGUCCGGAUCGCAGUCUGCAACUCGACUGCGUGAAGUCGGAAUCGCUAGUAAUCGCGGAUCAGCAUGUCGCGGUGAAUACGUUCCCGGGUCUU